AAAAAAAAAUGAAAGAGUGAUAAAAUUGCAAUAAAACAAGGAGGUUCAACAUACAAACCGAAAAACAAGAAAUGAAAACCAGCGGAGAUGAUAUCAAUUUCAGUUAAAGAUAUAAACAGAAAAGACGGAUAACAAAAUGUAACAAAAACAGUGAACAAUGACCUGCACUAUAACUCCACAGAAAUCAAAUAAAUAGAAGGGCGUGUACAAAAAGGAAAAUUGUCCACCCACCCUAACCAAAACAUAAAUAAGAUUUAAAUGAAAAAAAAAA
RNAcentral lists this unclassified non-coding RNA (271 nucleotides) under Hevea brasiliensis (rubber tree). The record is from RNAcentral. Lineage: Eukaryota; Viridiplantae; Streptophyta; Magnoliopsida; Malpighiales; Euphorbiaceae.